RNAcentral lists this ribosomal RNA (391 nucleotides) under Achrioptera punctipes. Its description in RNAcentral is "partial 12S ribosomal RNA". Lineage: Eukaryota; Metazoa; Arthropoda; Insecta; Phasmatodea; Phasmatidae. The record is from RNAcentral.
UAAACUAGGAUUAGAUACCCUAUUAUUUUAGAUGUUAAAUUUCCUAGGUAGUAAUAGUUAUGUUCUUUAAAUCUAAAGAAUUUGGCGGUGUUUUAUUCUACUCAGAGGAAUCUGUCCCUUAAUCGAUAGUCCACGUUUUAUCUUACUUUAAAAUGUUAAUUCAGUAUGUAUAUCGCCGUUAUAAGUUUAUUUUUUUAGAAUUAUUAAUUUACUUUUAUUAUUAUUUUGAUUUAUUUCAGGUCAAGGUGCAGUUUAUAUUAAAGUGGAGAUGGAUUACAAUAUUAUUUUGAAUAAAUGAAUUUAUUUUUUAAAAUUUUUAAUGAAGGUGGAUUUGUUAGUAAUUUUAAUUAUAUUAUUAUUUUGAUUUUAGAUCUAAAAUAAGCACACAUCG